GAAGCCCCUCCCCUUUGCUCGCACGCCCGCAACCCACGUGAAAAAGGGACGCGUGGCGUUCAGCCACGGCUUUAGCUGUUUUGCGAAAAGCCCUCCAGAUUCUAAGAAUCGCAAUGAAGUUAAGCUCGUCCAGCGCGCGCAGUAAUCGCGUUCGAAUUAUUUUUGUAUGGGCCCUCGAAUUAAAAUUUAUUUCGAUGCAAAGAAGGGAAAAUUGAUGAUGAUGUUGUUUUUA
This 232-nucleotide long non-coding RNA is filed under the name Setaria italica (foxtail millet). RNAcentral's name for it is "long non-coding RNA (SITA_LNC003192)". The record is from RNAcentral. Lineage: Eukaryota; Viridiplantae; Streptophyta; Magnoliopsida; Poales; Poaceae.